Molecule: ribosomal RNA, 657 nt
Filed under: Lysinibacillus sphaericus
Lineage: Bacteria; Bacillati; Bacillota; Bacilli; Caryophanales; Bacillaceae
Description: bacterial SSU rRNA
Rfam family: Bacterial small subunit ribosomal RNA
Source: RNAcentral
AUGCAGUCGAGCGAACAGAGAAGGAGCUUGCUCCUUUGACGUUAGCGGCGGACGGGUGAUAACACGUGGGCAACCUACCUUAUAGUUUGGGAUAACUCCGGGAAACCGGGGCUAAUACCGAAUAAUCUGUUUCACCUCAUGGUGAAAUAUUGAAAGACGGUUUCGGCUGUCGCUAUACGAUGGGCCCGCGGCGCAUUAGCUAGUUGGUGAGGUAACGGCUCACCAAGGCGACGAUGCGUAACCGACCUGAGAGGGUGAUCGGCCACACUGGGACUGAGACACGGCCCAGACUCCUACGGGAGGCAGCAGUAGGGAAUCUUCCACAAUGGGCGAAAGCCUGAUGGAGCAACGCCGCGUGAGUGAAGAAGGAUUUCGGUUCGUAAAACUCUGUUGUAAGGGAAGAACAAGUACAGUAGUAACUGGCUGUACCUUGACGGUAGCUUAUUACAUAGCCACGGGUAGCUACGUGGCAGCAGCCGCGGUAUACGUAUGUGGCAGCGUUGUCAGGAAUCUUGGGCGCAACCGUGGGGAGGUGCCUUCUUAGUCUGAUGAGAUAGCCCCGGCUCAGCAUGCACCGUGCUUGGGACUGGGGGCUUGCGUGCACAAUAGGGAGUGAAAUCCCAGUGUCUAGAGAAAUGCGUAUAGGCUGGAGAACAC